UGCCAGUUACUAACAGGUGAAGCUGAGGACUCUGGCGGAACUGCCGGUGACAAACCGGAGGAAGGUGGGGAUGACGUCAAGUCAUCAUGGCCCUUAUGUCCAGGGCUACACACGUGCUACAAUGGGUGAGACAGAGUGACGCGAAGCCGCGAGGUGGAGCAAAUCGCAGAAAAUCAUCCGUAGUUCGGAUUGGAGUCUGAAACCCGACUCCAUGAAGGUGGAAUCGCUAGUAAUCGCGCAUCAGCAUGGCGCGGUGAAUACGUUCCCGGGCCUU
Molecule: ribosomal RNA, 274 nt
Filed under: uncultured Spirochaetaceae bacterium
Lineage: Bacteria; Pseudomonadati; Spirochaetota; Spirochaetia; Spirochaetales; Spirochaetaceae
Description: partial 16S ribosomal RNA
Rfam family: Bacterial small subunit ribosomal RNA
Source: RNAcentral